CAGUCUUCUCCCUCACCUUCCGACCUCUCCCUCUCUCCUUCUACCUCGCCGGCGCCCCCGCCCGCCGUGAGCGCGCGCCGGCCUCCCUCCUCCUCCUGCUCUUAUCCCCAACGGUCCACCACCGCACCGCACCGCCUCCGUUCCCCAUCUCCUCCACCACCAAACCCUAGCCGCCUCCCUUCGCCGCCACCGCCGCUGACCGGUCAUGUCUUCUUCGUCCUCCGACGCGGCUCGGGACGAUGUCUCCUCCCCAGACCUCCCUUCGGUAGCCGCGCCCGUCGUCGCCGCCGCGGCCGCGGCCUCCUCGAUGGGAGGCAUGGGGCUCUGCGCAGGGCCCUCCGGGCGGAGGCUGCCGCCGCCAGGCUUGACGCACGAGGAGACCCUCACGCUCAUCGAGAAGCUCCAAGUCCAAGUCCGGCGUGCAGUGCUGCCACAAGAUCGAGAAGCUCCGAAAGCGGUACCGCACUGAGCGGUCGCGCUCCGCCGGCCGGUCCAAGGGCCCCCGCCCGCCUCGCCGGCCGGAGCUGGAGCUCGCCCGGCCCGCCUCGCCGGCCGGAGCUGGAGCUCGCCCGGCCCGCCUCGCCGCCGGAGCUGCAGCUCCCCCCACCUGCUCGCCGGUUGGAGCUGCACUUGCCCCCACCCGCUCGCCGCUGGAGGAAGCCGCACCGGCAUGAUUUUCGCCGCUGCACCACCGCUGGAGGCUAGAGAUUGGAAAGGGGAGACGACGCACAGCAGCACAGGUGGAGGAGGAGGAAAAACCGGAGGGCGCGGACAACCGAAAUAGAAGAUGCUGCUCUGGUUGGGGAGCGAACGGCGGGCAUGGAGGUUGCAGCCCUACAGCAUGGCGGCGGCAUUACCGAAGAUGGAAGUCGACGGUGCCCUUAGCUACAGCCGUGCCAAGUAGGGCAUGGAAUGCCGGAGGUGGAGUGGAGUUAUUUAAACUCGAUUGCAGGGACGAUCUUUGGGUUUCUUCGUGUUGCAGUGACGGCCUUUGGUUUUCUUCAGCUCCUUUCAGGUGUGUUUGUUGUGGUGGAGGAAUUAUUUGCACUAGAAUUGAUGGCUUACAAUAGUGACUUACGAUUGUGCACAGAAAAUCGGUAGAAGGCAUAAAUAAAAUGUCAUAGUGAAUGAUGACGUGGAUAGCUUGCAUGUUGAGAGAAACAGAAU
Molecule: long non-coding RNA, 1167 nt
Organism: Panicum virgatum (switchgrass)
Lineage: Eukaryota; Viridiplantae; Streptophyta; Magnoliopsida; Poales; Poaceae
Exons: 3
Source: RefSeq, a predicted model, not a curated record